GAAGUUAAGUGAGGUUUCAUCGAGGCUCCAAGUCGCGGUUCGUAUCCUUACAUAAAAAUAAUGAAAGCUAAUAGUCAAAAGGAAAAUAAAAGUACAAGCUCCUAUCUAUACAGCUUCUCUUGAGUCUUCACUUGUGUUUUUACUUUCAGAUAUCACCUUGAUUUUUGGGUGAGUAUCUUGAUCUUGAAUUGGAUUGAGGCUUAACUUGCCGCUUAGAGUGAGCUUUUGGCACUCUUCAAAAUGACAAUUUGAAUAUGUUCUUAAAUGACUG
This 271-nucleotide long non-coding RNA is filed under the name Solanum tuberosum (potato). Its description in RNAcentral is "long non-coding RNA (STUB_LNC000668)". Lineage: Eukaryota; Viridiplantae; Streptophyta; Magnoliopsida; Solanales; Solanaceae. The record is from RNAcentral.